RNAcentral lists this ribosomal RNA (879 nucleotides) under uncultured bacterium. RNAcentral's name for it is "bacterial SSU rRNA". It matches the Rfam family "Bacterial small subunit ribosomal RNA", at positions 614 to 1504 of the family's 1533-position model. The record is from RNAcentral.
CUUGGAACUGCCAUCAAAACUUUCUAGCUUGAGUGUGAUAGAGGAAAGUGGAAUUUCUAGUGUAGAGGUGAAAUUCGUAGAUAUUAGAAAGAACACCAAAUGCGAAGGCAACUUUCUGGAUCACUACUGACACUGAGGAGCGAAAGCAUGGGUAGCGAAGAGGAUUAGAUACCCUCGUAGUCCAUGCUGUAAACGAUGUGUGCUAGACGUUGGAAAUUUAUUUUUCAGUGUCGCAGCAAAAGCGUUAAGCACACCGCCUGGGGAGUACGACCGCAAGGUUAAAACUCAAAUGAAUUGACGGGGACCCGCACAAGCAGUGGAGCAUGUGGUUUAAUUCGAAGAUACGCGCAGAACCUUACCAACACUUGACAUGUUCGUCGCGAGACCAAGAGAUUGGUUUCUUCAUUCAGUUGGACGAAACACAGGUGCUGCAUGGCUGUCGUCAGCUCGUGUCGUGAGAUGUUGGGUUAAGUCCCGCAACGAGCGCAACCCCCACGUUUAGUUACUAACAUUUAGUUGAGUACUCUAGACGAACUGCCAGUGAUAAGCUGGAGGAAGGUGGGGAUGACGUCAAGUCCUCAUGGCCCUUACGUGUUGGGCUACACACGUGCUACAAUGGCAUUUACAAUGGGAUGCAAAGAGGCGACUCCUAGCUAAUCCCGAAAAUAUGUCUCAGUUCGGAUUGUACUCUGCAACUCGAGUACAUGAAGCUGGAAUUGCUAGUAAUCGCGGAUCAGCGCGCCGCGGUGAAUACGUUCCCGGGUCUUGUACACACCGCCCGUCACACCAUGGAAGUUGGUUACACCUUAAGGCAAAGGGUCAAACCUUUGACUACGGUACGAUCAGCGACUGGGGUGAAGUCGUAACAAGGUAACCGUA